This 204-nucleotide ribosomal RNA is filed under the name Parabacteroides goldsteinii. RNAcentral describes it as "partial 16S ribosomal RNA". It matches the Rfam family "Bacterial small subunit ribosomal RNA", at positions 1 to 198 of the family's 1533-position model. Lineage: Bacteria; Pseudomonadati; Bacteroidota; Bacteroidia; Bacteroidales; Tannerellaceae. The record is from RNAcentral.
ACAACGAAGAGUUUGAUCCUGGCUCAGGAUGAACGCUAGCGACAGGCUUAACACAUGCAAGUCGAGGGGCAGCACGGUGUAGCAAUACAUUGGUGGCGACCGGCGCACGGGUGAGUAACGCGUAUGCAACCUACCUAUCAGAGGGGAAUAACCCGGCGAAAGUCGGACUAAUACCGCAUAAAACAGGGGUUCCACAUGGAAAUA